This 137-nucleotide unclassified non-coding RNA is filed under the name fungal sp. RNAcentral describes it as "partial internal transcribed spacer region". The stretch from base 1 to 46 matches the Rfam family "Eukaryotic small subunit ribosomal RNA", at positions 1786 to 1831 of the family's 1831-position model. Lineage: Eukaryota; Fungi. The record is from RNAcentral.
AAGUCGUAACAAGGUUUCCGUAGGUGAACCUGCGGAAGGAUCAUUACAGUGGCUGCUUGCGCAGCGUCCCCUCGGGGAUAUCAUGAAUGGAGGGAAUCGAGGAUUUACAACCAUGAACAACGGAUCUCUAGGCUCCU